AAAAUGGUUCUGAAAGAAGCAAAAUACUAUAUAGCACCGUGAUUCAACAAAUUGUCCUUUCUCAGAAUCAGAAUCCUAGCAUCUGCUUUUGCCUUUAUCAUUAUAAUUUCUUGAAUGCUUGCCAUGUACCAUGGAUUAUACCUAGUAGCAUUUAUAGGAAUUUCAUAUUCACAACUUUAUGAGGCAAGCCCUGUUGUUGUAUUAAUUAUACAGAUGAUGGAAAAGAAACCAGAGAGACAAGGAACCACCAUUAGGAAAAGGAGCAAGCAGAGGUCACAGAGCUUGGCAAGGUCCCCCUAGUGCAACAAGUUCUGCCAGGACUGAAGCUGGAUGGAGAUUCAGGAGUGUCUAGAGCCAGGUGGGGCAAAUGCUCACUGAUUCCUCACCCUUCUCUAGGAAAAUGGGGAAUGUGGCUUCCUGCGAUGGUAAGCAAGAGGAAAUAGACCAGGAAUAACUUUGGCACUCCAUGUGGUAGAGUGACUAACUGAAGGUUUCCAAUGCAGCAGCCGAUAGGGGAAGAGACCACAGGCACUCAGGCUUGAAGUAGUCAAAGCCAUCAACAUUUUAAGAAAAUGAAGCAUUUCCUAUGAAUUUAUCUAUAAUAGUCAUAAAAUUUCCUAAAUGAAUUGACAUAGUCAUAAAUGCUGGUUUGAUAACAAUGAAAUAAGUUAGUUCACGAAUCUGAUUUUUUCCCUAAAGGUUGUUAAAUUGGAAAGAGAUUUAUGAUCUUCUGACUUCUUUAUGUUCCUUUGUUUUCACUGAAGCAGGUAUCCUUGAUCAAAAAUUGAUUGGUUAUAAUAUAAAUCUGUGGGUUUUGAUAAUUGCUGAUAACAUGCCAUAUACAAGGCUAUCUUUUUCUUUGACUCAAAUUCAGAUAUGCUUUUAAUUUCAUAUAAAAUUUUUCUGGCCAGGCAUUUUUGAGGACAGAUGCUAUUUGGCAGGCAUCAACACGUCGUAUCAAGCCUCCUUCAACUGAGAGCUUCAGUGCUUUACUAUUGCAUUGCAUUUGGACCGUUAACACCUGUGAUAAUUUCUCAUCCAUUUCAAAUUAUCCCCACUAAAAUUUGGCAUGUCACCUACCAGCCUGAGUUAUGACUGAGUUUUAAAGGGGUUCAGGCUUUUGGGAAUUCUUUAGGGAACAACCAUGAUACAUUCAUAAUGUUAAGACCUAUGAUUCUUUGAACAAAAUUCUAUUGAAGUAACUUAUCAGAAUCAUGUGUGAUGCAGUCUUCUCUUUGCUAGAAGUUCCCUCUUGGUGGCUCCCUGAGGGGCUCUUAGCCCACGUACUAUCCCAGCAUGCCAUAAGCCAAAAAUCUUCUUUUGGUCACUCACCAGUAACUCCGUGAAAAAGCAACCAGAGCAAAAAAGAAAAGAUUGCUGUUGUUAUAUCUAAGUCAGAUCCAUUCCUGCAUCUUCCAAAUAUUGUAUAAUAUCUCUGCAUUAUGUUGUUUUUUUCUGAGAAACAUUCUGCUCAAUGAAGCAGUAUCCGUCCCUCUUCAAUUUCCGUAAGGGUGUGAUUAAAAUAAUGUGCAGAUAUGGUGAAGGGCAAAGGAAGGGAUUGCAUAUUAUAGAUGAAAUAGUCAUUGGUUUGUUUUACAGUCUAUGCAUUUUUAAUGAGCAAGUCCCAAUUACAGGAAUUAAAUGUUCCAGAUACUGAUUUCAGAGGGAUAACAUAUAAUAUGAAAAUAAAAUUUGGUAACACUAUGUGAUGAUGUGCAGUUCAAUAUAGCUAUAACCCUGGAAAGUGAAAAAUGAUGCUCUUCAUAUUGAAAUAUUCCAAAAAAUUAAAUUAAUUCCCUGAAGCACAUUAUAAUAACAUUGAAAAAUGUUACAUGAUUUAUAUCUUUUAAAUCUGGUUUUUAAAGUCAUGUCAAAAAUGAGGAGUCCUUGACCCUUUUAUUCAAUCACAUAUAUAUUCUGUAACAACAUAUGAAAAAAGUCUGCAAAAGAAGCAUUAUAAAGCAGAAGUUUCCCCAAAUUUGUUCCUGUUUCACUCCUGUGUAUGCGAAAUACUCAUAUAAAUUAUGUAAGUGGAUCUGGCUUAUAUCCCGGUCACAUAUGGGUUUUCUCACAAAGUAAAAUAUUAUACUUGAUCCUCUCCUUUUCUUUUUAUUGAAGUGUAGUUCAUUUACAACAAUGUGUUACUUUCAGAUGUACAGCAAAAUGAUUCAGUUAUACAUACAUAUUUUUUACCUUUCAGGUUAUUGCAAGAUAUUGAGUAUAUUCCUUGUGCUACACAGUAGGUCCUUGUUGGUUAUCUAUUUUAUAUAUAGUAGCAUUUAUAUGUUAAUCUCAAACUACUUAUUUUUAGAGAGUAAAGAUUCACCUAGGAGAUUUGUACUAAUCCUUUCAGAGUAUUAGGCGGACAGUUAAUUAGUGGAGAAGCAUUAGAAGGUAAAGCUUUAUUGGGCACCCCUAAAAGCCAGGCAUUGUUCUAAAUGCUUUCACGUGCCCUUUUACUUCAUCCUCACAGGACCCAGUGAGGUCAGUUUCAUCUUUAUCCUCACUUUGCAAGAGGGAAAAACGAGGCUCAGUAAGGCUUUAGUUACUUGCCCGAGGUUAUACAACAUUGUGAUGGAGAGCCAUGUUUCAGACAUGGCCUGCUCUAACCUCUGGACCACUCUCCUCACCCUCAGAUGUGCAGAAGGUAUGCAAAUGGACGGAGCAGGGGGACCGACUUCCACAAAUGGUCAUAAAAUUGAUUUCUGAAACCAUAACACAUUCUAGAGUAAUCCAGGAGGAUCUUGGUCCUGGGAAAUUUGUGUUUUGUAUUUUCUCUUUGAGAGUUGGUACUGAAGAUUGAGAUUAAGUUAAGGUAGAAACAGGAAUGUUUGAGUGAUGCAGAUAGAAGCUUUUGCUGUUAGAAGAGAUGACACCCAUUGCCUGGCCACAGUUCAUUUUAAGACAAUACAGAGUGAUGCUACAGAUACCACAGUGCUUUCAUAAGAAAACAGAAACUCUGGGUAACUUUUACUGUAAGUGAUGUCCUGUAUGGGAAACUGAGCUCAACCUGGAGUGCCUAGAAAGAUUGCAAGAGCAGAUCAUUUUAGACUAAGAGAUAUUUAGAAAUCAAGGACUAAAGAAAAGGUCAAUUGGAACUAGGGAAAAACAAGAUAAAAUCCCCAACUGAACUGUAAAAAUCCUUCUGAGCUCUCAGAAGCACCCGCAAGUCUUUCUCUCCUCCUCUAAAAAGGUAACUCAAAAUUAGCAACUUGUAAAUAAUGGAAAUAAGAAGUUUCUAUCCUGCCACCUAUGACAGCCUGUCAAAAUAUUCCAAGGUAUAAUGAUAUGGUUUUUAUUUUUAACAACUUUUUGUCAUAAAAAUAAUACUUGCUUACUGAAUAAUGAUCUAAUGAUAUGAUAGCUUAUAUAGGAUACAGUGAAAAUGAGACAUCAGCACCUCUCUCCAGAGGUAACCUAGCCUUCCUGAUCCCUUCUAAGCACAUAUAUACACAAACAUUUACUUAUUCAAAUAGUAUAUUCUCUGUCUACCAUCUAUCUUAUUAUAUAACUUACUUUAAAAAAUAGCAAUAUAUCAUUAAUAUUAAAGAGUUGGGGAGUUCCCGUCGUGGCGCAGUGGUUAACGAAUCCGACUAGGAACCAUGAGGUUGCGGGUUCGGUCCCUGCCCUUGGUCAGUGGGUUAACGAUCCGGCGUUGCCAUGAGCUGUGGUGUAGGUUGCAGACGCGGCUCUGAUCCCACGUUGCUGUGGCUCUGGCAUAGGCCAGUGGCUACAGCUCCGAUUCGACGCCUAGCCUGGGAACCUCCAUAUGC
Molecule: long non-coding RNA, 3773 nt
Filed under: Sus scrofa (pig)
Lineage: Eukaryota; Metazoa; Chordata; Mammalia; Artiodactyla; Suidae
Description: lncRNA (ENSSSCG00000059244.1)
Source: RNAcentral